This 944-nucleotide ribosomal RNA is filed under the name uncultured archaeon. Its description in RNAcentral is "bacterial SSU rRNA". It matches the Rfam family "Archaeal small subunit ribosomal RNA", at positions 1 to 922 of the family's 1478-position model. The record is from RNAcentral.
UUCCGGUUGAUCCUGCCGGACCCCACUGCUAUCGGGAUAGGACUAAGACAUGCUAGUCAAGCGCUCACCAGCCAAAGGUGAGUGCGGCGCACAGCUCAGUAACACGUGGCUAACCUGCCCUUGGGACGGGGACACCCCCGGGAAACUGGGAUUAAUCCCCGAUAGGCAGAGACCUCUGGAAUGAAUCUCCGCCCAAAAGGCGCUUGCGCUAUGCUCGCAGGUGUCGCCCAAGGAUGGGGCCGCGACCGAUCAGGUUGUUGGUGAGGUAAUGGCUCACCAAGCCUUUUACCGGUGCGGGCCGUGGGAGCGGGAGCCCGGAGAUGGGCACUGAGACAAGGGCCCAGGCCCUACGGGGCGCAGCAGUCGCGAAAACUUUGCAAUACACGAAAGUGUGACAGGGCUAUCCCGAGUGCCAUCCGCUGAGGAAGGCUUUUACCCAGUUUAGAACGCUGGGAGAAUAAGGAGAGGGCAAGACUGGUGUCAGCCGCCGCGGUAAUACCAGCUCUCCGAGUGGUGUGGAUGUUUAUUGGGCCUAAAGCAUCCGUAGCUGGCUGGACAAGUCCCCUGUUAAAUCCACCGAUUUAAUCGUUGGAAUGCGGGGGAUACUGCUCGGCUAGGGGACGGGAGAGGCAGACGGUACUUCCGGGGUAGGGGUGAAAUCCUAUAAUCCCGGGAAGACCACCAGUGGCGAAGGCUGUCUGCUAGAACGUGCCCGACGGUGAGGGAUGAAAGCUGGGGGAGCGAACCGGAUUAGAUACCCGGGUAGUCCCAGCCGUAAACGAUGCAGGCUAGGUGUUUGGGCGGCCACGUGCCGCUCUAGUGCCGCAGGGAAGCCGUUAAGCCUGCCGCCCGGGGAGUACGGCCGCAAGGCUGAAACUUAAAGGAAUUGGCGGGGGAGCACCACAAGGGGUGAAGCUUGCGGUUUAAUUGGAGUCAACGCCGGA